Molecule: unclassified non-coding RNA, 211 nt
Filed under: soil metagenome
Description: partial contains 5.8S ribosomal RNA, internal transcribed spacer 2, and large subunit ribosomal RNA
Source: RNAcentral
AACAAGGCGUACCUGCGGACCUGCGGAAGGAUCAUUACAGAGUUAUCCAACUCCCAAACCCAUGUGAACUUAUCUCUUUGUUGCCUCGGCGCAAGCUACCCGGGACCUCGCGCCCCGGGCGGCCCGCCGGCGGACAAACCAAAACUCUUGUUAUCUUAGUUGAUUAUCUGAGUGUCUUAUUUAAUAAGUCAAAACUUUCAACAAUGGAUCU